Molecule: long non-coding RNA, 1049 nt
Filed under: Homo sapiens (human)
Lineage: Eukaryota; Metazoa; Chordata; Mammalia; Primates; Hominidae
Description: HSALNT0355223
Source: RNAcentral
GAACAAAGGAAGGAGGAAGUAACUUGUGGAGUGCUGAGAAAGGUGAUCAGAAGAGCCAUCACUGAAGAUGACAACUGAGCAAAGACCCAAAGGAGGUGAAGAGUGAACUACGGAGGAAGCACCUUCCUGGCAGAGAACAGCAAGUGCAAAGGCCCUGGGCAGGGAGGAUGACUGGGGAUCAUUCAAGCAAGAGCAAAGAGGCCAAUGUGGAAGGAACAGAGUCAGCAAGAAGGAGUGUAAAAGGAGUACUGUUUGUGUUGGCAAAGUCACUUAAAUGCCCUUCUAUGACAAGCUGGCAGAGCUGCUUGCCGCACUAGGGAAGGAGGAGGAAAUGACAGCAGAGGAGCUUCAUCCAGACAGAAAGAUGUAGAAGGGUCCAGCCCUUCCCUCACAUCAGGGUGCAAAGAGUAGGAGGCAGUCAAACAUGUAUCAUCACUUCCCUGCCCGCAAAUUCCGAGGAAGAGGUGAUGUACCAGUCAGGAGACAGAAACCACACCAGUCAUUUCAAUAGGGAAAAUUUAAUAAAAGAAUUAUUAACAAAAAGUAGAUACUGCUAAGAGAGCGUUCUGUGUUUUCUGAGAUUCUGUAUUCAUCUAUUUGGCAUCCAUUAGUCUAAUCACAGGGUCAAACUCACACACAGCCAAAGCUGUUUCCGUCUCCCCUGCCACCCAGAGCCCAUUCUCUGAACCACCUCCUUAUCUAACUCUCACACACAGAGCCAAUAUUUCUCCUACCCUAAAUCACCCAGAGCUAGGAACCAGACAACGAGGGACGGCCCUCUGCCCCAGGGCCCCCCAGAAUUAUCCAAAAUAGCCAAUCCUCAGAUGUUUCCCUGGCCCUGUCUGGCCUUUCCCACAGAAGCCCAACAAAGGCUCUGGCCUGGGCGUUCCCCCAGCUCCUUUCUGCCCUGUGGAUGGUGCUUCCCCAUGUGCCUGUGUGGUGUGGCGUGGCAUGCUCCCCUCUUGGAAAUGGAAGUAAUAAACAUUUUCCAUUUUCUUUUAUUGGGAUUGGCCUUUCUGUGCCAUCACUCAAUAACCUCCACAGACUGA